UACGAGGGGGGCAAGCGUUGUUCGGAAUUAUUGGGCGUAAAGGGCGCGUAGGCGGUGCGGUAAGUCACCUGUGAAAACUCUGGGCUCAACUCAGAGCCUGCAGGCGAAACUGCCGUGCUUGAGUGUGGGAGAGGUGCGUGGAAUUCCCGGUGUAGCGGUGAAAUGCGUAGAUAUCGAGAGGAACACCUGCGGCGAAGGCGGGUUGCUGGGCUGACACUGACGCUGAGGCGCGAAAGCUAGGGGAGCGAACGGG
RNAcentral lists this ribosomal RNA (253 nucleotides) under uncultured bacterium. Its description in RNAcentral is "partial 16S ribosomal RNA". It matches the Rfam family "Bacterial small subunit ribosomal RNA", at positions 524 to 776 of the family's 1533-position model. The record is from RNAcentral.